Molecule: ribosomal RNA, 423 nt
Filed under: uncultured bacterium
Lineage: Bacteria
Description: bacterial SSU rRNA
Rfam family: Bacterial small subunit ribosomal RNA
Source: RNAcentral
AAGACCUUGCGCUUUUGGAGCGGCCGAUGUCUGAUUAGCUUGUUGGUAAGGUAAAAGCUUACCAAGGCUUCGAUCAGUAGCUGGUCUGAGAGGACGGCCAGCCACACUGGGACUGAGACACGGCCCAGACUCCUACGGGAGGCAGCAGUGGGGAAUUUUGGACAAUGGGGGCAACCCUGAUCCAGCCAUGCCGCGUGAGUGAAGAAGGCCUUCGGGUUGUAAAGCUCUUUCAGCCGGAACGAAACGGUUACGGUUAAUACCCGUGACUACUGACGGUACCGGAAGAAGAAGCACCGGCUAAUUACGUGCCAGCAGCCGCGGUAAUACGUAGGGUGCAAGCGUUAAUCGGAAUUACUGGGCGUAAAGCGUGCGCAGGUGGUUUUGUAAGUCAGAUGUGAAAUCCCCGGGCUUAACCUGGGAACU